GACGAACGCUGGCGGCGUGCUUAACACAUGCAAGUCGAGCGGUAAGGCCCUUUCGGGGGUACACGAGCGGCGAACGGGUGAGUAACACGUGGGUGACCUGCCCUCAGCUCUGGGAUAAGCCUGGGAAACUGGGUCUAAUACUGGAUAUGACUCCACGGUGCAUGUCGGUGGGGUGGAAAGCCUUGUGCGGCUGAGGAUGGGCCCGCGGCCUAUCAGCUUGUUGGUGGGGUGANGGCCUACCAAGGCGACGACGGGUAGCCGGCCUGAGAGGGCGACCGGCCACACUGGGACUGAGACACGGCCCAGACUCCUACGGGAGGCAGCAGUGGGGAAUCUUGCGCAAUGGGCGAAAGCCUGACGCAGCGACGCCGCGUGAGGGAUGACGGCCUGGUGUAAC
Molecule: ribosomal RNA, 397 nt
Filed under: uncultured bacterium
Lineage: Bacteria
Description: bacterial SSU rRNA
Rfam family: Bacterial small subunit ribosomal RNA
Source: RNAcentral